This 76-nucleotide transfer RNA is filed under the name Clostridia bacterium. Its description in RNAcentral is "tRNA-Lys". It matches the Rfam family "tRNA". From Rfam's summary of the family: Transfer RNA (tRNA) molecules are approximately 80 nucleotides in length. Their secondary structure includes four short double-helical elements and three loops (D, anti-codon, and T loops). The record is from RNAcentral. Lineage: Bacteria; Bacillati; Bacillota; Clostridia.
GGGUUAUUAGCUCAAAUGGCAGAGCAGGCGACUCUUAAUCGUCAGGUUGGGGGUUCGAUUCCCUCAUAGCCCACCA